GUCUAUUACUAAUAUGAGGCAGGCAUUACCUGUAAAUGGGGACGAAGUCUGUAUGAAUUAUUUUUUUGUAACUUAAAUAUUUGUUUAAAAAAAAAUAAAACGGAAAUACCGUAACGUUUCCGAUUUUGGUUCUGUUGUUAGGGAUUUAGUUGUGACGUUAUUUAAAUUAUGACGUCAUAUGCAAUGUAAACAAAGAAACGCUAUCAUCAGGUAACGUUUUUUCAUAUCAAGGAAUUAUUAAAAAUGAAAUUGGUAUUGCGCGUUCCUUCCUAUUUUAUACUACACUGAUAAAUAUAUAUUUUACUCAAAGUUUCAUACAAACGAGACCGGAAAAAGGAAGUACAUUGUACAUUUCUGCGCAGGUCCGGGAUUUCAAAACACGACAAAAAAAAUUUGAACGAUUUUGAGUUCAUUAGUAUACAAUGAAAAAUUCGGGAAAUUUUCCCGUAUUUUUUUUUUUUUAUUGAAUUUUCUACUGUUAUUGGGGACUCCGUCCCCAUAUUACUUUA
Molecule: long non-coding RNA, 509 nt
Filed under: Mytilus galloprovincialis (Mediterranean mussel)
Lineage: Eukaryota; Metazoa; Mollusca; Bivalvia; Mytilida; Mytilidae
Source: RNAcentral